GCCCGGCUAGCUCAGUCGUUAGAGUAUAAGACUUUUAAUUUCAAGGUCGUGGGUUCGAGCCCCAUGUUUGGCA
Molecule: non-coding RNA, 73 nt
Organism: Polyodon spathula (Mississippi paddlefish)
Lineage: Eukaryota; Metazoa; Chordata; Actinopteri; Acipenseriformes; Polyodontidae
Source: the annotation of a RefSeq genome assembly